UCCUCACCUGUUUCCUGUGUGAUUGUGGCUUGCUGUUGGCGUCUUUCUCAAGAAUUCCUCCAAAAAUCUUUAAACCUAUUGAUUUGAUUGCUGGAAUCAUUGGCGUUUCUUACCUGGACCGUCACCGGGAUUCUGUCACGGCUGAUUGUGGCUAAUUACGCCCCGCUCUCUUCAAAAAGGUAGGGUUUCUUUCCCCCCUGUCGGAUCAGAUCUUCAUCUGGAUUGGAAGAUGGCGAGCUAGGAAUGGACCAUGGACUUUAUGAUUUUGAAAUUAAUUUAUUCUGAGUCAAUUCUCAUGUCUCAUCGUGCUGCUGUAAUUGUAUGUUUUAUUCAAAUCACUUAAUAUAUAUUCACCAAAACUAAAAGCACUGCCUCCUGUUUUUUCACACCACAGGCUCCUUAAAGGACACUCUUCUGAUACUGCUUUUGUAGCUGCAGUUAGCUGCCUAGCCCAUAAGUGUUACAAACACAUUAAUAGGUAGGUGAUCUUGAUGUUA
This is a long non-coding RNA of Xiphophorus couchianus (Monterrey platyfish), 497 nucleotides long. RefSeq lists it as uncharacterized. NCBI's taxonomy places the organism in Eukaryota, Metazoa, Chordata, Actinopteri, Cyprinodontiformes, Poeciliidae. The record is from RefSeq and is a predicted model, not a curated record. The transcript is spliced from 3 exons.